This is a non-coding RNA of Tetranychus urticae (two-spotted spider mite), 2449 nucleotides long. The record is from RefSeq and is a predicted model, not a curated record. NCBI's taxonomy places the organism in Eukaryota, Metazoa, Arthropoda, Arachnida, Trombidiformes, Tetranychidae.
UGAAGUUUGAAAAUAAGAUUGUUUUGUGUAACAUCGCCAUCUCCCGUACAAAAGGAUUAAUUAAAAAAGGUUUAGCUGAUGGUAAUGUGGACUCACCUUGACAGAUAAAUGUAUCAUAGUAGGAAAGCAAAUUGGACCUCUGGAGGACCCGGUAAAGUUGAAGCUCAGAAUCAUUUAGUGGGCAAGAUGUCAUUGCGACUAUAGAGUGUGAAAUGAAAAGAAAUAUAAUUAAUUAUGGGUCAAAGUCAAUCAUUUCAACCAAAUUGUAACAAUAAUCAUUCAAGUGGCCAAUCAAUGUGAACUCUAAGAUUAAUAUUAUAUAUUUUUCCAGCUCAUAUUUAGAUGUGUCAUCAAAUCCUGAUAAUUUUAAUAGCAUCGGACAUGUUCAAGUUUCUUUGCAUCUUUACCUUGAUCUGAAUCAGCUAAACUUCAAUGAAGUUUGGCUCAGAAUGCAACAGUCUUCUAUAAAGGAAAAUUCAACGUAAUUUUGCUUGCUUUCAAAAAAGGAGUUAAUUUGAGAGCUUUAGAUUAUACAAAUAUCAAAGGAUAAAGUUCACCAAGCGAUAAAGUACCUUUCAACAAUGAAUGAUAUUCAUGAUAUGGGUUGAUGUAUCAUGUUAUCUCAUGUUACUCCAGCUAAUUAGAUUUAAUUAUCAACAAAGGAGCAAUAAAAUGUAUCUGAUUGGAAACAGUUUGGAAAAGAAGAGGAGAAAAGGAUCUUAUUCUUGGAUUAUCUUGGACGUAAUUUCAGGAAGGAAACUCAAAAAUUUAAAUUCAAUUAUUUGAGUUUAAAACUCGUUGUUAGGAUAAGCAAAUGAUUUAAAGUAUGUUAGGUCUAGGAGAGAUGCAAGAAUCCGGUUUGCUGAAAACAAUGGAUUACCCAUUGAUGAACUAUGACCAGUUAAACUUGGUGACCCUUGAUUUGGCGAGGAACGGGAUAAACUUUGAUCUAAGGAUGACCUUAUAUUUGAUGCAGAAUGGUCGAUUGGUAGCAUCGAGGAAUUACUUGUGUUGUUACAAUUGGAAAAAAAUAAAUCAAUUGAAGCACUGAAUAAAGUUCAUUAGAAGGACAAAGAUGAAACAAAAAAAGCUGAUGGCGAACCGAAGGAGGAGUUAAAAUUAAAAACAAAAUGGCAAUCAAAGGAAUUUAUAUGGCGAACGAAGGACGAUGAUGAUUAUGAUGGUGAUGGCAAAAGGACUUUUAAACAAAGAAGAUGAUGAGAAGGAAGAGGAAGGAGGAGAUGAUGUAAAUGAGAAUCAAAGUAAAAGAAUCUGAAAAUUCCCUCGAUGUUGAAACAUGUUUCAAUGGUAACAACGAUGAUAAGGAAUGGUGACUAUGAUGAUGAUGGUGAAUGGAGGGAGGAGAAAACGAUGGCGAAUAUGGAAGAAUGAUGAUGAUGAUGAAGUUAACUCGAGGCUUCGAGGCUAUCGAUUAUUUCACUUUUGCGCUUAUAGAAACUUGCGUCGAGGAAAAAAACUUUUUAUUCCUCGAUGCUCUUUCACUCUUCUUUUUCUUCUCCUUUCUCUUCUUUCUUGCUUUCUUCGGUGUUGAAGUAAUUCCAAUGAAAUGACACUUUACAUGAGAGGCUGGACGAAGGAUAAUGAUGAUGAUGACAAAACCAUUGAACCAAUAGUAACUUCGAUGAUAAUGGAUUUAUCCCUCGAUGAACUUGCUAUUUACCCUCCUUCCUUCCUACUUGUUGUUUUUCUUGUACAAGUUUUUCGUCUUGUUCUUAUUUUGCCUGAUUCAACCCAACCUAACCCUAUCUCACUCACUCGAUGCACCAAUGGUAUCAAUAAGAAACACAAUAAGAAAGAGGAGGAGAAAAGAUGAAAGGUAUCACUUGCUGCACACAAAAGAUGCUGAUGUUUAUGUGGAGAAGGUGAAGGAAAAAGUCGACAAAAAAACGUGAAACUUUAACACGUAAUAGAAAUAAGUUAAGGCCUAAAAGGGUUAAAAAUAUUUACAUCGAGGAGAAACUGAUGACAAUGGAAGGAACAUAAGGAAAGUUGGACACUUGAAUAUAAGAAGCAUUUGGAUAGAUGUUGACUUCUUGACCGUACACUGGAGGAUUGUUCAGAAGUUUGGUGGAUAUGAUCAAACAAUGUAUGACAAUAUGACAAAAUUUAAUCCUGAAACACUUGGCCUGAUUUGUGUUAUUGUCAUGUAUCGUUACCAACAUUAAUGAUUAUUGUUAUUGGCCGAAACAGCGGUUAUGGACGGAGAUAUUGUGUCAAGAAAAGGAAAAAAUUUACUUACAAUGAUUUGGGUUGAAUCAACAGCAUCCUUAAAAAGCGUCAAUUAGUUAUUGAAUGUGAAGAUGGAAAUAAAUUGAAAGCAUAAACAAUCAAUGGAUAAGUAGGAAGCAAAUGUAAUCCAAAGGAUCAAGACAUUUAUUGGAAACUACAAUAGUUAUCAAUAUAAAGUAAAAUAUAUUUACAACAAGAA